UCCGGCCGGGAACUCAAAGGAGACUGCCAGUGAUAAACUGGAGGAAGGUGGGGAUGACGUCAAGUCAUCAUGGCCCUUACGACCAGGGCUACACACGUGCUACAAUGGCGCAUACAAAGAGAAGCGAUCUCGCGAGAGCAAGCGGACCUCAUAAAGUGCGUCGUAGUCCGGAUUGGAGUCUGCAACUCGACUCCAUGAAGUCGGAAUCGCUAGUAAUCGUGGAUCAGAAUGCCACGGUGAAUACGUUCCCGGGCC
This 255-nucleotide ribosomal RNA is filed under the name Escherichia coli. RNAcentral describes it as "partial 16S ribosomal RNA". It matches the Rfam family "Bacterial small subunit ribosomal RNA", at positions 1126 to 1380 of the family's 1533-position model. The record is from RNAcentral. Lineage: Bacteria; Pseudomonadati; Pseudomonadota; Gammaproteobacteria; Enterobacterales; Enterobacteriaceae.